AACAGGGAUUUCCCUAGUAACGGCGAGCGAACUGGAAGGUGCCCAGAUUGAGAAUCGUGGCGUUUUGCGCUGCGAAUUGUAGUCUGUAGAAGCGUCCUCUGCGGCGGACCGGGUCGAGGUUCCCUGGAAGUGGACGCCUGAGAGGGUGAGAGCCCCGUCAGGCCCGGACCCUGUUGCUCCACGAGGCGCUCUCCACGAGUCGGGCUGUUUGGGAAUGCAGCCUUAAGUGGGUGGUAAAUUCCAUCCAAGGCUAAAUAUUGGCAAGAGACCGAUAGCGAACAAGUACCGCGAGGGAAAGGUGAAAAGGACUUUGAAAAGAGAGUUAAAAAGUGCUUGAAAUUGCUGGGAGGGAAGCGAAUGGAGGUUGCUGGUGCGCUCCGGUUGGGUGCGGAACGGCCUCGGCUGGUCUGCCCGGUCAACUCGGGGUGCCGGCCAACGUUGGCUCCGUCUGCGGGAUAAAGAGGGACCAUGUCNACCCGACGAUGCCGUAGGCGGGGCUUGGGCCUGGGGCGCACGCCACCUUGGCGGGCUACCAUGCACCUGUGCGCUCCGGACGUUGGCUUGUGGGGCUUUCCAUUCGACCCGUCUUGAAACACGGACCAAGGAGUCUAACAUGCGUGCGAGUUGGUGGGUUCAAAACCCGUCUUGGCGAAAGGAAACUGAUGCGUGGGAGCCCUGUUGUCGGGUGCACCAUGCGCCGACCAUGAUCUUCUGUGAAAGGUUUGAGUGUAAGCAUGCCUGUUGGGACCCGAAAGAUGGUGAACUAUGCCUGAGCAGGGCGAAGCCAGAGGAAACUNUGGUGGAGGCUCGUAGCGAUACUGACGUGCAAAUCGUUCGUCAGACUUGGGUAUAGGGGCGAAAGACUAAUCGAACCAUCUAGUAGCUGGUUCCCUCCGAAGUUUCCCUCAGNAUAGCUGGAGCUCGUUCAAAGUUUUAUCGGGUAAAGCGAAUGAUUAGAGGCAUCGGGGGAGAAACUCCCUCGACCUAUUCUCAAACUUUAAAUAGGUAAGGCGCCGGGGUUGCUCCAUUGAACCCCGGCCCUGGAAUUGGAGCUCCAAGUGGGCCAUUUUUGGUAAGCAGAACUGGCGAUGCGGGAUGAACCGAAAGCCGGGUUACGGUGCCCAAGUGCGCGCUAACCUAGAUCCCACA
RNAcentral lists this ribosomal RNA (1149 nucleotides) under Isoetes lacustris. RNAcentral's name for it is "eukaryotic LSU rRNA". It matches the Rfam family "Eukaryotic large subunit ribosomal RNA", at positions 67 to 1216 of the family's 3401-position model. Lineage: Eukaryota; Viridiplantae; Streptophyta; Lycopodiopsida; Isoetales; Isoetaceae. The record is from RNAcentral.